UACGUAGGGACCGAGCGUUGUCCGGAAUCAUUGGGCGUAAAGGGUGCGUAGGCGGGUCUUUAAGUCAGGGGUGAAAUCCUGGAGCUCAACUCCAGAACUGCCUUUGAUACUGAAGAUCUUGAGUUCGGGAGAGGUGAGUGGAACUGCGAGUGUAGAGGUGAAAUUCGUAGAUAUUCGCAAGAACACCAGUGGCGAAGGCGGCUCACUGGCCCGAUACUGACGCUGAGGCACGAAAGCGUGGGGAGCAAACAGG
This 253-nucleotide ribosomal RNA is filed under the name uncultured bacterium. Its description in RNAcentral is "partial 16S ribosomal RNA". It matches the Rfam family "Bacterial small subunit ribosomal RNA", at positions 524 to 776 of the family's 1533-position model. The record is from RNAcentral.